Molecule: ribosomal RNA, 459 nt
Filed under: uncultured bacterium
Lineage: Bacteria
Description: partial 16S ribosomal RNA
Rfam family: Bacterial small subunit ribosomal RNA
Source: RNAcentral
CCUACGGGAGGCAGCAGUGAGGAAUAUUGGUCAAUGGUCGGGAGACUGAACCAGCCAAGCCGCGUGAGGGAUGAAGGUACAGAGUAUCGUAAACCUCUUUUGUCAGGGAACAAAGGCGGGGACGUGUCCCCGGAUGAGUGUACCUGAAGAAAAAGCAUCGGCUAACUCCGUGCCAGCAGCCGCGGUAAUACGGAGGAUGCGAGCGUAAUCCGGAUUUAUGGGGAUAAAGGGGUGCGCAGGCGGUCUGUUAAGUCAGCGGUCAAAGCCCGGGGCUCAACCCCGGCCCGCCGUUGAAACUGGCAGUCUCGAGUUGGAGAGAAGUAUGCGGAAUGCGCGGUGUAGCGGUGAAAUGCAUAGAUAUCGCGCAGAACUCCGAUUGCGAAGGCAGCAUGCCGGCUCCACACUGACGCUGAGGCACGAAAGCGUGGGUAUCGAACAGGAUUAGAUACCCGGGUAGUC